Molecule: ribosomal RNA, 492 nt
Filed under: uncultured bacterium
Lineage: Bacteria
Description: partial 16S ribosomal RNA
Rfam family: Bacterial small subunit ribosomal RNA
Source: RNAcentral
AGUGAACGCUGGCGGCAGGCCUAACACAUGCAAGUCGAACGGCAGCACAGUAAGAGCUUGCUCUUACGGGUGGCGAGUGGCGGACGGGUGAGGAAUACAUCGGAAUCUACUUUUUCGUGGGGGAUAACGUAGGGAAACUUACGCUAAUACCGCAUACGACCUACGGCUGAAAGCAGGGGAUCUUCGGACCUUGCGCGAUUGAAUGAGCCGAUGUCGGCUUAGCUAGUUGGCGAGGUAAAGGCCCACCAAGGCGACGAUGCGUAGCCGACCUGAGAGGAUGAUCGGCCACACUGGAACUGAGACACGGUCCAGACUCCUACGGGAGGCAGCAGUAGGGAAUCUUGAGCAAUGGGCGAAAGCCUGACGGAGCAACGCCGCGUGAGUGAUGAAGGUCUUCGGAUCGUAAAACUCUGUUAUUAGGGAAGAACAAAUGUGUAAGUAACUAUGCACGUCUUGACGGUACCUAAUCAGAAAGCCACGGCUAACUACGUG